UACGGAGGGUGCAAGCGUUAUCCGGAUUCACUGGGUUUAAAGGGUGCGUAGGCGGACAGGUAAGUCAGUGGUGAAAUCUCUGGGCUUAACCCAGAAACUGCCGUUGAUACUAUUUGUCUUGAGUAUCCUGGAGGUAGGCGGAAUAUGUCAUGUAGCGGUGAAAUGCUUAGAUAUGACAUAGAACACCGAUAGCGAAGGCAGCUUACUACAGGAUGAUUGACGCUGAGGCACGAAAGCGUGGGGAGCAAACAGG
This 253-nucleotide ribosomal RNA is filed under the name uncultured bacterium. Its description in RNAcentral is "partial 16S ribosomal RNA". It matches the Rfam family "Bacterial small subunit ribosomal RNA", at positions 524 to 776 of the family's 1533-position model. The record is from RNAcentral.